Molecule: ribosomal RNA, 521 nt
Filed under: uncultured bacterium
Lineage: Bacteria
Description: bacterial SSU rRNA
Rfam family: Bacterial small subunit ribosomal RNA
Source: RNAcentral
UAACUGGGUGUAAAGGGUUUGUAGGUUGAUGGUUAAGUMGAUAUGAAAGACCGAAGCUUAACUUCGAGUUAGUAUUUGAAACUGGCUAUCUAGAAUCAGGGAGAGGUAAGCGGAAUUCUAAGUGUAGGGGUGCAAUCCGUAGAUACUUAGAGGAACACCAAAAGCGAAGGCAGCUUACUGGAACUGAAUUGACACUGAAAAACGAAAGCGUGGGGAGCGAAAAGGAUUAGAUACCCUUGUAGUCCACGCCCUAAACGAUGACAACUAAGUGUUGCGACUAGCUCGCAGUGCUGUAGCAAACGCGUUAAGUUGUCCACCUGAGGAGUACGGUCGCAAGAUUAAAACUCAAAGGAAUAGACGGGGACCCACACAAGCAGUGGAUCACGUGGUUUAAUUCGAUAAUAAACGGGGAACCUUACCCAGACUUGACAUCCUAGGAAUGCACCAGAGAUGGAGCAGUGCUCGCAAGAGAACCUAGAGACAGGUGCUGCAUGGUUGUCGUCAGCUCGUGUCGUGAGAAG